GACGAACGCUGGCGGCGUGCUUAACACAUGCAAGUCGAACGGAAAGGCCCUGAUUUUGUGGGGUGCUCGAGUGGCGAACGGGUGAGUAACACGUGAGUAACCUGCCCUUGACUUUGGGAUAACUUCAGGAAACUGGGGCUACUACCGGAUAGGAGCUCCUGCUGCAUGGUGGGGGUUGGAAAGUUUCGGCGGUUGGGGAUGGACUCGCGGCUUAUCAGCUUGUUAGUGGGGUAGUGGCUUACCAAGGCUUUGACGGGUAGCCGGCCUGAGAGGGUGACCGGCCUCAUGGGGACUGAGGGAGGGCGCAGACUGCUACGGUAGGCAGCAGGGGGGAAUAUGGCACAAUGGGCGGGAGCCGGAUGCGGCAACGCCGCGUUCGGAAAGACGGCCUUCGGGUUGUAAACCGCUUUCGCCUGUGACGAAGCGUGAGUGACGGUAAUGAGUAAAGAAGCACCGGCUAACUACGUG
RNAcentral lists this ribosomal RNA (468 nucleotides) under uncultured bacterium. RNAcentral's name for it is "partial 16S ribosomal RNA". It matches the Rfam family "Bacterial small subunit ribosomal RNA", at positions 28 to 507 of the family's 1533-position model. The record is from RNAcentral.